CUAGCAUGGAGUGAGUAGGAGUCCAGAAGAGCCUGGGCACAGAUGCGGAAUGAUUCAAGGACAGGAGAAAACCACAAGCUGUACACCUUAAACAUGAAGCCAAACUAGAGCACUGUUGUGCCCUCACUGACAGCUUCAUGGACGUGAAUGGAAAUUGGAUAAAUACGAUGCUGCCUGUGUCAAAAACGUACCGUUACCUGGACGUUUUAAAGUAUACAGAGCAAAACCUGGGUCUUCUUAGAAGCAUGAGCUUUCCUCCACACAAGAGAAGUCCUACAGCUGGUUUUACCACUGGUGUUGUCAGGUAGCCUAGUGCCACAGCUGUCUCUGAUGCAUCGUUAUCUUGCAGCACAAAUUUUGAAUGUCAGCAUGUCUGAAGUCCUUUUUAUGAGAAAUUUCAUGGUGUUGUAUAAAGCAUACACUAUUGCCAAUUCUGCAGGAGAACAGAAGGUGUGUAACCCUUCCAAAACUUAAGCGUUUUCACCAGUACUUGUAAAGCAACUUAGGUCUGUCGUGAGUGGCAUAGAUGAGGCAUCUACAAGAAACUGCCAUUUCUACGGCAGUAACUCCUCUACCACCAACGCAGUGCAAAGCAGAAGGAUGCUGUAACUGCCUACCAAUAACAUAUAAAUUGCAUUUCUCCAUGGAGUAUUUUCAUGUCUCCAAUAAACUGGUAACACCUCCUGGUACGUUCAUAUUUCAAUUGAGUGGGGCAAGGCAAACCAGCUGUACCCCCAAACUGCUGACUCCCCAGAUUCUCAAAGCCCAUCCCAAAUGUGCAUUCAUCUGUUUGUCUGCAACUGAUAAACUGGUAUUCCUUGUAUUUAGACUGAUCUCUCCUGACCCAGUAUUAUUCCAUUUAAAAACACUGUAAUCAUAUAAUUCCUCUUCUGGACAUGUACAUACACUUAAAUGCUUUACUUCUUAAAAAAGAGGUGAGCAUCUCUUCCUUAUCACAGAUAUCCUAGGCGUUAAAAAUAUGAAAAUUCCAUAUGGAUUAAAUAUUGAUUUUAUUUUUUAGAGAGCAAGUACAAUGAUGUUGCAUUAAAAUAAUGCUAUGUCAUAGUUGUUACAGCUCUGAUAGAAAAAUAAACAUCUCAAUAUACUACAGUGUCAACUCAUUAAUAAAUAUCAAAAUAGAAGUUAGUAGUCAACUGAAAUUAAUAAACAGCUAUAAAAGUAUACUAUUUUAAAUAAUAAAAUAUUCAGUAUAUUUCCAGACAAACAAAAGUAGUGAUUUAAAGUAUCAUUUAAAAUGGAAAAUGGACAGUAAGAAGUUACAAAUUUAUUUGAAACCUUUUCCCUUACUAACAUUCUCUAUGCAUAAAAUCUAGAGGAACAUUAUUUAUCUGUAUAUACUUUUUACAAAAGGUAGCAUAUGUUAAAUAGAAAGUUUAAAACUGUAGUAUUAUUAAUAGUUGUCACACCAUUGCUAAAUAAGACACUUUAACAUAUCUUUAGGUUCUGAAGCAGUAGUAGGUAAAAGUGAAGAUGUUAGCACAGUGAAUUCUUCCAACACAAAUGACUUUCCAAACAAAUCUCUCAUCUUUCAACGUCUCCCUUCAAAAUAUAACUGGAACAGCUCAAACACAAUAUAGGUAUCAGGAUGAAAAGUUAGCAUUUGGAUAGAGCUAUUGUUUUAACAAAUGACAGAUUUCAAAACUUUUUUUUUUUUUUAAAGGAGGUAUACCUUUUUUUUUUUUUUUUAAACAGUAUGUGCAGAAAAGGAAAAAAGAGAAAAU
Molecule: long non-coding RNA, 1742 nt
Organism: Cygnus olor (mute swan)
Lineage: Eukaryota; Metazoa; Chordata; Aves; Anseriformes; Anatidae
Exons: 4
Source: RefSeq, a predicted model, not a curated record